RNAcentral lists this ribosomal RNA (1090 nucleotides) under Olleya marilimosa. RNAcentral's name for it is "bacterial SSU rRNA". It matches the Rfam family "Bacterial small subunit ribosomal RNA", at positions 32 to 1131 of the family's 1533-position model. The record is from RNAcentral. Lineage: Bacteria; Pseudomonadati; Bacteroidota; Flavobacteriia; Flavobacteriales; Flavobacteriaceae.
CCCCCUUCGGGCAGGCUUACCAUGCAGUCGAGGGGUAGCAGGGAGCUUGCUCCGCUGACGACCGGCGAACGGGUGCGUAACGCGUAUAGAAUCUACCUCUUACUAAGGGAUAGCCCAGAGAAAUUUGGAUUAAUAUCUUAUAGUAUACAGACCUGGCAUCAGGAUUGUAUUAAAGGUUACGGUAAGAGAUGACUAUGCGUCCUAUUAGCUAGAUGGUGUGGUAACGGCACACCAUGGCUACGAUAGGUAGGGGCCCUGAGAGGGGGAUCCCCCACACUGGUACUGAGACACGGACCAGACUCCUACGGGAGGCAGCAGUGAGGAAUAUUGGACAAUGGAGGCAACUCUGAUCCAGCCAUGCCGCGUGCAGGAAGACUGCCCUAUGGGUUGUAAACUGCUUUUAUACAGGAAGAAACACUCUCACGUGUGAGAGCUUGACGGUACUGUAAGAAUAAGGAUCGGCUAACUCCGUGCCAGCAGCCGCGGUAAUACGGAGGAUCCAAGCGUUAUCCGGAAUCAUUGGGUUUAAAGGGUCCGUAGGUGGAUGAUUAAGUCAGAGGUGAAAUCCUGCAGCUCAACUGUAGAAUUGCCUUUGAUACUGGUUGUCUUGAGUUAUUAUGAAGUAGUUAGAAUAUGUAGUGUAGCGGUGAAAUGCAUAGAUAUUACAUAGAAUACCAAUUGCGAAGGCAGAUUACUAAUAAUAUACUGACACUGAUGGACGAAAGCGUGGGGAGCGAACAGGAUUAGAUACCCUGGUAGUCCACGCCGUAAACGAUGGUCACUAGCUGUUCGGACUUCGGUUUGAGUGGCUAAGCGAAAGUGAUAAGUGACCCACCUGGGGAGUACGUUCGCAAGAAUGAAACUCAAAGGAAUUGACGGGGGCCCGCACAAGCGGUGGAGCAUGUGGUUUAAUUCGAUGAUACGCGAGGAACCUUACCAGGCCUAAAUGUAGAUUGACAGGUUUAGAAAUAGACUUUUCUUCGGACAAUUUACAGGUGCUGCAUGGCUUGUCGUCAGCUCGUGCCGUGAGGUGUCAGGUUAAGUCCUAUACGAGCGCAACCCCUGUUGUUAGUUGCCAGCGGAGUCAUGU